This 479-nucleotide long non-coding RNA is filed under the name Androctonus crassicauda. The record is from RNAcentral. Lineage: Eukaryota; Metazoa; Arthropoda; Arachnida; Scorpiones; Buthidae.
CUGUUCAGACGCAGUUCUGUUAAUUUUGAGUCUGGAUAUUCCAGUUUCCACAGUUGGUACGUCCUUUUUGGUAGCCACGUUUUUCGGGUUUUGAUGCAUGACUGAGUGAUUCUCUGGCAUCGAGUAUUUCUGCCGCUUCUCUGUUUUGUGCAUUUUGACAGCUUCCCAGGUUCCUCAACAAUCGCCGCGGUCCUUUUUAUCCUGGUCGACAACUGAGCCAGUAUAGACUUCUUUUUAGUUUGUUUCUCCAUUCGGUCAAAUGGGUUGGGUGCUCCUCCUCAACUUUGAUCUCUCCGGCAUGGUUGAACCUACCAGUAGUUUGCAUUACUACUGGUACAGCUCUCAGCUUCACUGGAGCACUCAAGCCCCAUCACCACUUAUUAUUUUGGAUCUUUAUUUUGAUUUCAUAAUAAUCAUGAAAUUAGUUUCUUUAAUUGCAACUUGGAUAAUUAUUAUAAAGUUGUGUUGAAUAAUGAGCG